RNAcentral lists this ribosomal RNA (760 nucleotides) under Bacillus amyloliquefaciens. RNAcentral's name for it is "bacterial SSU rRNA". It matches the Rfam family "Bacterial small subunit ribosomal RNA", at positions 53 to 796 of the family's 1533-position model. The record is from RNAcentral. Lineage: Bacteria; Bacillati; Bacillota; Bacilli; Caryophanales; Bacillaceae.
ACAUGCAGUCGAGCGGACAGAUGGGAGCUUGCUCCCUGAUGUUAGCGGCGGACGGGUGAGUAACACGUGGGUAACCUGCCUGUAAGACUGGGAUAACUCCGGGAAACCGGGGCUAAUACCGGAUGGUUGUUUGAACCGCAUGGUUCAGACAUAAAAGGUGGCUUCGGCUACCACUUACAGAUGGACCCGCGGCGCAUUAGCUAGUUGGUGAGGUAACGGCUCACCAAGGCGACGAUGCGUAGCCGACCUGAGAGGGUGAUCGGCCACACUGGGACUGAGACACGGCCCAGACUCCUACGGGAGGCAGCAGUAGGGAAUCUUCCGCAAUGGACGAAAGUCUGACGGAGCAACGCCGCGUGAGUGAUGAAGGUUUUCGGAUCGUAAAGCUCUGUUGUUAGGGAAGAACAAGUGCCGUUCAAAUAGGGCGGCACCUUGACGGUACCUAACCAGAAAGCCACGGCUAACUACGUGCCAGCAGCCGCGGUAAUACGUAGGUGGCAAGCGUUGUCCGGAAUUAUUGGGCGUAAAGGGCUCGCAGGCGGUUUCUUAAGUCUGAUGUGAAAGCCCCCGGCUCAACCGGGGAGGGUCAUUGGAAACUGGGGAACUUGAGUGCAGAAGAGGAGAGUGGAAUUCCACGUGUAGCGGUGAAAUGCGUAGAGAUGUGGAGGAACACCAGUGGCGAAGGCGACUCUCUGGUCUGUAACUGACGCUGAGGAGCGAAAGCGUGGGGAGCGAACAGGAUUAGAUACCCUGGUAGUCC